RNAcentral lists this transfer RNA (56 nucleotides) under Dephomys defua (Defua Dephomys). Its description in RNAcentral is "partial tRNA-Val". The record is from RNAcentral. Lineage: Eukaryota; Metazoa; Chordata; Mammalia; Rodentia; Muridae.
UCAUAGCAUAUGAACACUUUGAACUAAUGCUAGCCCUAAUAAAUUUAAANNCAAAU